RNAcentral lists this ribosomal RNA (253 nucleotides) under uncultured bacterium. RNAcentral's name for it is "partial 16S ribosomal RNA". It matches the Rfam family "Bacterial small subunit ribosomal RNA", at positions 524 to 776 of the family's 1533-position model. The record is from RNAcentral.
UACGAUGGGGGCUAGCGUUGUUCGGAAUUACUGGGCGUAAAGCGCACGUAGGCGGGUCGUUAAGUUAGAGGUGAAAUCCCGGGGCUCAACCCCGGAACUGCCUUUGAUACUGGCGAUCUAGAGGUCGAGAGAGGUGAGUGGAAUUCCGAGUGUAGAGGUGAAAUUCGUAGAUAUUCGGAAGAACACCAGUGGCGAAGGCGGCUCACUGGCUCGAUACUGACGCUGAGGUGCGAAAGCGUGGGGAGCAAACAGG